Molecule: non-coding RNA, 4675 nt
Organism: Salmo salar (Atlantic salmon)
Lineage: Eukaryota; Metazoa; Chordata; Actinopteri; Salmoniformes; Salmonidae
Source: RefSeq, a predicted model, not a curated record
CUGCAGUGUCGACCACUGGUUCCCAUGGACACCGUGCGAAAGCGAGGCGGCUGGUGUGUUUCCGCUUACCUCACACUGAGAAAGAAGAACGAAACCGGUUAGCUUUUUUUAGGACGAAGCGAAGGAAAGGACAAUACCAUACGAACUAAGCCAUUUCGCACUUAACUUUUAACAAUUGGAGAAUAGUCUGUCUAUUUUUGAAUUAUUUGAGUCCAUGUCCCGACAGUGAGAACGAAGAGGAGGGCUUGAAGGUAUUUAGGCUUUUCGUUGGUUGAACCUCAGCGGACUGUAGAGCUGGUAUCCAGGGGAAAGAUGAGCGAUGGAAUGGUAUUGUGUGAGACGAGAGCCCUGGCUUCCUCUCCAGUCCACAGGUUGGCUACGUCUGUACUCCUCUUCCUCUUCCUCGCCCUGCUCCCCCAAGGACACGCAUCAGGAUGUCCGCGGCCGGUGGCUGUGGAGCACGGGGAUCUGGUGAACCAGACUGAGGCUAACCGAGGCUCCUUCCUCCCUGGUACCCUGCUGUCCUAUAGCUGUGAGCCAGGCUACACCCCCGAUGGACCCACCACCAUCACCUGUACCACCGCUGGAACAUGGUCCCACCUGCCUCCACGCUGCAUAAGCACUAAUGUGUGUCCCCCCCGCCAGACCAGAGACGGAGGUGCAGGUGCCACCGUCCCCCUGCCCCCGCCUCUCCCAGAGGCCGUGAUGAGUGCUUCUGUGGGGGUCGCUCUGAAGGGGGACUACAAGUUCCUCACCUGUCAGAAUGGGGAGUGGGACGUACCCAUGCAGAUCACCUGCCGCCUCAGCCCAGAGAAGGAGCCGCGGUCUCCGUUGGCGAUGCCAGCGCUGUCCAUCGUAGCGUCCACAGCCUCCUCUGUGGCCCUCCUCCUGCUGUUGGUGGUGCUGUUUGUUCUGCUGCAGCCCAAACUCAAGUCCUUCCACCACAGCAGGCGUGAGCAGGGUGUCUCAGGCCAGCCAGCCUCUAUCGUGGUGGAAGGGGUCCAGGUGGCCCUCCCCUCCUAUGAGGAGGCCGUGUACGGCAGCAGCGGCGGCGCCUCUCUCCCCCCACCACCAGAGUCCCGGGUUCAGAUCGUCCUGUCUGAGGGCCCCCAGGGGGCCGAGGGCGGAGCAGAGGGACCGGGUCCCAGCAGUAGGUCCCAGUCCCACCAUCACAGAGACAGAGAUACAGAGCUGUGCCUCCCCUCCACCUCCUCCUCUUCCUCCUUCCCUUCAUCCUGCCGUCACGCAGAGACAGUACUAGUUCACCAGGCCCCCUCCGCCUCCUCUUCGUCGUCGUGGGUUACGGCACACGGAGGGGGUGCCCUUGCCAGGCGUAGAGACUCAGAGAGCAGUGACCAGCACAGCCUGCUUUCUGUCACCUCCGUAGACGACUUCUCUGAUGAUAUCCCCCUGUUAAAGGAAACCUGAAGCCCCUGCAGCAGCAUCACUCCGCCCCUACAGCUGAGCAGGAAACUGAGGCUCCUGCUGGGGCCUACUGGGGCUUUCUACCUGAACGAUACCACCCUACCUUAUGUCUCUGAACUACAGAAUUACCCCGCGCAGCAAAGACAGGAAUCAUGUCAAAGAAACUCAACCUCCCUCCUCCUCUACAUCUGCAACCUCGAGCAGAGUCCACUUCACCUCCAAUUAUUACCACCCAUGCACAGAACAUGUCCACCCCCAGUAUCCUCUCCCCAUGUCCUGGCUACCCCUUCUGCAAUGAUCUCUAAACUACUACCCGUGUGGAGAAAAGACAAGACGACCCUCUUUCUCUCUUACUGGGAACUGACAAGCCCUUAGUACCUCCUGGUCUCCUCAGUUUCAGAAUGGACCUCAACACAGACAGACAGGCAUCAAGUGGUUCCAGCUGAAUAUAGAUGUAUUCUGUAUGUAUCAGAGCUCCAAGUGUGCUACUGUGUAUGUGUCACUAUGUACACAGCAGAGCCAAUUCAAUAUACAGGGUUCUCCCCAAAGAAUGGAAGAGGGGCGCCGCACCACAAUUAUUUGCUCUAGAUUGCAGGAAAUGACCCUGCUGUACUCAGUAACACCACCUUGUUAAUAAAUUCUGGGUAGAACCCUGAUAUAGUUCUGGUACACAGAAUACACUUCCCUCUAUGCCUAGCUGCUUGACCCCAGUCAUCCACACUUCCCUCUAUGCCUAGCUGCUUGACCCCAGUCAUCCACACUUCCCUCUAUGCCUAGCUGCUUGACCCCAGUCAUCCACACUUCCCUCUAGGCCUAGCUGCUUGACCCCAGUCAUCCACACUUCCCUCUAGGCCUAGCUGCUUGACCCCAGUCAUCCACACUUCCCUCUAGGCCUAGCUGCUUGACCCCAGUCAUCCACACUUCCCUCUAGGCCUAGCUGCUUGACCCCAGUCAUCCACACUUCCCCUCUAGGCCUAGCUGCUUGACCCCAGUCAUCCACACUUCCCUCUAGGCCUAGCUGCUUGACCCCAGUCAUCCACACUUCCCUCUAGGCCUAGCUGCUUGACCCCAGUCAUCCACACUUCCCUCUAGGCCUAGCUGCUUGACCCCAGUCAUCCACACUUCCCUCUAGGCCUAGCUGCUUGACCCCAGUCAUCCACACUUCCCUUUAGGCCUAACUGCUUGACCCCAGUCAUCCACACUUCCGUCUCGCUCCUCUCUCUCUCUGUCUAGCUGCUUGAGCCCAAUCAUCCACACUUCCAAAUGCUUUAUCUCAAACCACAAGACUAGUAGCUAACAUAAUAAUGCUUUUAUCGCUGCUGCUGUUGCUGCUGCUGAUGAUGAUGAUGAUGAUGAUGAUGAUGAUGAUUACUCUGGAUACAAACUUGUGCAUCUCCCUACUCUAAUGGGGAUGAGGAGCCUCUCUCUUCAGUGAGGACUAUGUUGGUUCUGCACGUUCUCUCUAGUGAUGGAUCGAUGACGUCCUGCGGGGGCGCACGCGGUAGCCCUGUCUGUCCACUCUGUAUGAAGCUCCUCUUCCUUUCUCUGCUGCCACUCUCUGGCAUCUUCUUGGGUCAGUCAGCGCCACUUUCGUCUGAGGGGAGUAGGAGUGACGCCACCUGUAUGAAGACAAUGCACGUAGGAUGGAUGGAUGGAUAGAUGGAUGGAUGGAUGGACGGAGGGAGGGAGGGAGCACGUCACCAAGCACCUGCAGGGCUACAGACAGACAGUAUCACUCUAUCAUGUUAAAAUAAGAUGAAUGACACGCUUGCCUUUUCGUCACAACCGAUAUCUGUGUUGUGUUAGUCACAUCAACAGCCCAUCUGCUCCCCUGUUGAUGUGACUAACUGGUGGGUUUUGUUUUGGGAGGCAUCACUAUAUUUUUGCCACCUGGCUGUGGAACUGAACAACACACAGCUGUUUCAUGAAUGAAGAGGGCUGCACUAUAUUGUUAAAUUAACUAAGGCCUUGCUGUUUUUUUUACAUGAUGAAAACAUGUUUGUUUGGUGACUAGACAUUAGGUCACACAUCUCUUUUUCCAAUCUAUUUAUAUUGUGUGGCUGUAAGGUUGGGUUCACUAGAGGUGUUUGUCACUUGGUCCGGAUGCGCUUAAUGUCCGUAUGCAUGUGUGAGAGUGUGUUUGUGUGUGUCUAUCUUUGCCUCUGUACAUCAGUUAGGCGAGAGAGAGAAAGGACAUGCCCAUAGAAUGGGUACACCAGAAAUAUUACCCAGGAUUUCCUGCCCUUAGUAGAAAUGUCUUCACAUAGCUACCCCAGUUCAAAAUGGCUUCCCUCUUUUCCUGCUUUUUACAACGGUCAGAAGAACAAACAGUCAUUACUGUAAGAAUACAGUACAUCAUGUAUAUUUAAAUGUUCAAGGACUAAAAUGUCCUCCAUUUUCUGCAGAGUUGCUUCAGAAUAACCUUGUGGAUCUGCGACUGAAAAACCAUUGACACAACUGCAACUGGUUGCAGGAAACGACAGUUAUCUUUUGUUGUAAAUGUUAAGUUCAAAUUUAAGUGAGCCGUUUUAAUUGACCUUUGAUGAUAAAACCACUCGUAUACGUUGCUCAUUAGGUAGAGGAGACACGGUCUAAGUCUGGUCUGGCUUUUAGAAAACAUUGGUUUAUUUGUCGGUCUUUCCACCUGUCAUUGUCAUUGGCUUCAUAAACGCAAACAGAGAACGUUGCCUUAGACCUGGUACAUUUUAUUACUUUGAUUUUGUUUCUACUUGUAUCGUAAGUUUCCGUCUUUAUCUGCUACGAUAUCGAAGCGUCUUCGGUGUUUCCCAAUGGCCUUACUUUUGUAUUUUCUAGUCAUACAACUGUCUUGUGUAUUUUUCAAUGUGUUUUAUUUUUGUUUUUGGACUCGACUAAAGAAAGUCCAUCCUCUUCUCUCUGUACCCCCCCCCCCCCCCCCCAGGCUUCUUCAGCAACCGUGAUUUUCAAAAGCCUAAGCACAUGAAACAAAUCACUUUCUUUGUUUAAUGUUUAUCAGACAUUUUAAAUAUUGCGUGUUAAGGGACUAUUUUUUGGGCGUCCAGACCACCGUUGUACAGUGGUGUUUCCUCCAUCUCUUGAUUCUGCAUUUCAAUGCUUUCAUGUUUUCUUUUUUUCAUCUGUACAUUGCAGUGGGUUGUGAAGAUCGUAUUUUAAUAUUUGUAUAAAGUUUAAUUUAAUUCUACCUUGUGUGUGUGUGUGUGUGUGUGUGUGUGUGUGUAACUAUUUCUAAUUAAAGCUUUUUUUGAAAGUA